RNAcentral lists this transfer RNA (63 nucleotides) under Hemiselmis andersenii. Lineage: Eukaryota; Cryptophyceae; Cryptomonadales; Hemiselmidaceae. The record is from RNAcentral.
AGUUCCCCUGGAAUUUCAAAAUCUUAUGAGCAUUUAUUUCCAUUUCAUUUAUUCCUUAAUAAU